AGUGAACGCUGGCGGUAGGCCUAACACAUGCAAGUCGAACGGCAGCACAGUAAGAGCUUGCUCUUACGGGUGGCGAGUGGCGGACGGGUGAGGAAUACAUCGGAAUCUACUUUUUCGUGGGGGAUAACGUAGGGAAACUUACGCUAAUACCGCAUACGACCUACGGGUGAAAGCAGGGGAUCUUCGGACCUUGCGCGAUUGAAUGAGCCGAUGUCGGAUUAGCUAGUUGGCGGGGUAAAGGCCCACCAAGGCGACGAUCCGUAGCUGGUCUGAGAGGAUGAUCAGCCACACUGGAACUGAGACACGGUCCAGACUCCUACGGGAGGCAGCAGUGGGGAAUAUUGGACAAUGGGCGCAAGCCUGAUCCAGCCAUACUGCGUGGGUGAAGAAGGCCGUCGGGUUGUAAAGCCCUUUUGUUGGGAAAGAAAAGCAGCAGGUUAAUACCCCGCUGUUCUGACGGUACCCAAAGAAUAAGCACCGGCUAACUUCGUG
Molecule: ribosomal RNA, 492 nt
Filed under: uncultured bacterium
Lineage: Bacteria
Description: partial 16S ribosomal RNA
Rfam family: Bacterial small subunit ribosomal RNA
Source: RNAcentral